This 375-nucleotide ribosomal RNA is filed under the name uncultured bacterium. Its description in RNAcentral is "bacterial SSU rRNA". It matches the Rfam family "Bacterial small subunit ribosomal RNA", at positions 524 to 898 of the family's 1533-position model. The record is from RNAcentral.
UACGAAGGGGGCUAGCGUUGUUCGGAAUUACUGGGCGUAAAGCGUAUGCAGGCGGAUCGUUAAGUCGGGGGUGAAAUCCCGAGGCUCAACCUCGGAACUGCCUUCGAUACUGGCGACCUUCGAGUCCGGGAGAGGUGAGUGGAACUCCGAGUGUAGAGGUGAAAUUCGUAGAUAUUCGGAAGAACACCAGUGGCGAAGGCGGCUCACUGGCCCGGUACUGACGCUGAGAUACGAAAGCGUGGGGAGCAAACAGGAUUAGAUACCCUGGUAGUCCACGCUGUAAACGAUGGGUGCUAGCCGUUGGGCAGCAUGCUGUUCGGUGGCGCAGCUAACGCAUUAAGCACCCCGCCUGGGGAGUACGAUCGCAAGAUUAAA